Molecule: long non-coding RNA, 3434 nt
Organism: Oncorhynchus tshawytscha (Chinook salmon)
Lineage: Eukaryota; Metazoa; Chordata; Actinopteri; Salmoniformes; Salmonidae
Source: Ensembl
GGAAGAUUGGCCAUAAGAGACUACAUUUUCCAGGGGUCCGCCCGGUGCCCUUUGUCUAAAUUGGUGCGUAAUCUUCAGUUGCGGGCAUUUUCUCCUGGGAUUCAGGACAGAAAGCACACUUCCAUGAACGAUGUAUCAUCGAAGAGAUAUGUGAAAAACACCUUGAGGAUUGGUUCUAAACAACGUUUGCCAUGUUACAGUCGAUAUUAUGGAGUUCAUUUGGAUAAAAGUUAGGCGUUUUUAUGACUGGAUUUUCGUUUUUUUUUGGUAGCCAAACGUGACGCACCAAACGGAGCGAUUUCUCCUAAACAAAUAACCUUUCAGGAAAAACUGAACAUUUGCUAUCUAACAGAGUCUCCUCAUUGAAAACAUCUGAAGUUCUUCAAAGCUAAGUCCUCUCCUGUUCCCUGAUUAAGAGGUGAUGACAACUCCACUACCAUUGUCAACUCUCUCCUGACAUGAACUGAAGCCACGUCUCAUGUGCUCGCUCAUCCACUGGCACUUUGCAUGUUUCCUCUCCAAGCACUUUAAAUCCUGUCCUGCACUGAAGUCAAGCCUCUGAACACCUCAACUCAUGCCUCAUACCUCACUGCUGUGAUCCCUUCUCAUUCCCAUUCCCCAUAAUAUUGUACAAUACAUGUCUUUAGUAAAUGAUUUAGGUGAAAAUAAUUACUCUUUGAUUAUUUUUUAAAUACACAUAGACGUCUCCUUGCGCCUAUACCAUUGGUCUCCCAUCCUCCUCAAUUGUUAAAGUCACCAGCCUCCACUGCUCUCCACUGUGGUACUGUCUUAAUGCUAGACACAAUGCCAUAGUAAUUAGAUUGUAACCAGUGUCUAAGGGCUCUAUUCAAUUCACAUCGCGGAAGUUCAGCUUUAGUGUGAUUGAAAUUUAAAGGCAACGUUCCUACUUUAGCAGAGACUGCAUUCACGGUAAACGCUGCAUAUCAGCUCAAUCAGAAAUUACCUUGAAAUUUGUAUCUCGGAAUCUGUAACGCUUCAGCUUACCCGAUUGAAUUGAGCCCUAAAGCUCUUUUUCAGAACUCCAUCAAACCAGAGCAGGACAUCAGUUACUGUCGGUCAUGGUGCACGGACCAUGCAAUGACGCACGUUACUUCUGCUAUAAAGUGCUUCACCCAAGGGGAAAAUCAAUGACGAGCUUAUCCCAAAUGGGACCAGUCAGUUUGAUAUGGCACUCACACACUGUGUUUUAAUGCACCACAUGUGUAAACCAUUCAGUGUGCUUGUUGACUAAACAAGGAUGAACAGGCCGUAAACAGAUAGUGAACGCCAGUGGACAUGAAAUGAUAAAGCACCGCGCUUUCAGGAUGGAGCGGUAAGAGGGACAGAGAUGACAGAUAAAGGGUCCUCAAUAUCGGUCAAUCCCUCAUCCCUGCAUGACUACUGAGAGGGAGUGUGAUCAUAGCAACUUCCCUACAAGCAUGCCCACAUUGGCACCAUGAGGGCCCGAUGCAGGUUCAAAUAUUGACCCCAUGUAGGCUGCCAACAUUGGGCCAAUGCAUCUUUGUUCAUGGGCUUCACGUUGGCCCCCAAGGCAUUUGCCCAGUGUGGCCCAGUGUGGGCAGCCCAUAUCUCGGGAAAGCAGCCCUCACUUUGUCUAAAAUAAUAAUAUUUACCAAGAAAACAUGCCCACAUUGGCACGAUGUGGGCCCAAUGCAGGCAAAAAUAUUGGCCCCAUGUCAGUCAAUAAAUAACAUUUAUUUAUAAAGCCCUUUUUACAUUAGCAGUUUUCACAAAGUGCCUAUACAGAAACCCAGCUUAAAACACCAAAGAGCAACCAAUGCAGAUUGUUGUGGAUUCCCCCGGUACUGCUGCUCAUUUCAUUCACCAGCUCUGGAGGUCUACGUCACCGGCCUCUAGGCAUCACUGAACUGUUUCAUUACGCACACCUGAUUCCAAUUCCCCUGAUUAGUAAUUGUAUAUAUGUGCCCUCUGUUCGCCAUUGUCUAGUCGUGACACAGAUGUAGAAUACACAUUUGCUAUUUGAGGGGAAUGUAUUUAUUUAUUUAUUUAUUACAAUUUAAUUCAAUGCAUAAUUGUUAAUCCUUAAAAAUUAUUUAUGGAAAGUGAUACUUUUCUGAUACAAUGUAUCAGACAAAGUUCUUACUAUCAUACAUAUAUCUUUACAAGAAGAACUGUUAAGUUUCUCAUACGUCAUAUGCACUUAUUAGGGCCAAUGGGCUCAUGUCCCUGGGUUUGAGCCCUUCACGACCAGUGGUGGAAAAGGUUCUCAAUUUUCAUACUUGAUUUAAAAGUAAAGAUACCUUAAUAGAAAAGUCUAAAAGUAUCAGGUUUUAAAUAUUCUUAAGUAUUAAAAGUAUAAAUAAUUUCAAAUCCCUUAUAAGAAGGAAACCAAAUGGCAGUUUUAUUUGCAUUUUUUAUUUUUUAUUUACAGAUAGCCAGGGGCACACUCCAAAACUCUGACAUAAUUUACAAACAAAGCAUUUGUGUUUAGUGAGUCCACCAGAUCAGAGGCAGUAGGGAUGACCAGGGAGGUUAUCUUGAUUAGUGUGUGAAUUGGACCAUUUUCCUGUCAAAAUGUAAUAUUGUAUUUUUGUAUUUUUGGGUGUCAGGAAAAAUGUAUGGUGAAUGUAGUGAAGUAAAAGUUGGCAAAAAUAUAAAUAGUAAAGUAUAGAUACCCCCCAAAAACGACUUAAGUAGUACUUGAAAGUAUUUUUCCUACAGUACUUUACACCACUGUCCAUGACACACAAUGAAACACCUAGUUUUAAAAAAUCUGUCUUGGGCUAGAAGCUGGUCCACAAACUCCAGAAUUUUUCUUUGCCUAUAUAUAUAUCCGCAGCGGAAAGGGCAUGUCUCACAGAGACGGAUGCCUGGAUCAUUUUCCCUGUCCAGCCCACUAAUGACCCCAAGGGGACCCUGGCAGAAUGGGAGGGAGGAGAAUAUGGGGUAAGGAGAGAAGGGAAGGGGAGAAGAGGAACUCGCUCAGUCCCGAUGCGCCAGUUGAUGAGGCAGCAGCUGUGAGUCACAGGAAGGAGAAUGGAGCCGGCCGGCGAGCGUCCUUUUCUGGCAGCGAGUCAGCUGCCCAACCAUCGCCAUCGGAGGGAGUCAGCACAAAUGCUACGAUGACGACCUGAGGGCUGCUCGUUUCGUCAGUCCCUUUCCUCCGCUAACAAAGCAGCUAUCUGCUUCCUUUCCAUCACUGCACAUUUUCCAGCUUUGACCUUUGAGCAUGAAAAUAAUAUGACAAGAACAAUUAUGUUGAAGGCCAACUAGAUUAGUCUCUGAGGUCCAUUCUGCCGCUCUUAAUUUGUGGUUUCAACGUAUAUUUGUUUUGAAAAUAAAGAAUUGGAGGUUUUUACCUUUUUCUGUUGAAAAUAGAAAACAAAUGAAUGUUGUAAUUGAUUAGAACAAGACUGAAAACAAACUUAACAACUUUAACCUCUGAAUGGCGC